Lupinus albus (white lupine) is the source of this 274-nucleotide non-coding RNA. NCBI's taxonomy places the organism in Eukaryota, Viridiplantae, Streptophyta, Magnoliopsida, Fabales, Fabaceae. The record is from the annotation of a GenBank genome assembly.
UUGAAAAAUUUUUAAUAUUCUAGAUAUUCCACAGUUCCUUAUCGUGUCCAUUUCCAAUUUCUUGGUCGUUGGGAUUCAUGGUCAAUACAGAUUAGAUUAAUAUUUAAGGAUAGAUAUUACCUCCCCCUUUCCCUUUCAAACAAAUUCAAAUGAUUGAAGUUUUUCUCUUUGGAAUCGUGUUAGGUCUCAUUCCUAUUACUUUGGCUGGAUUAUUCGUAACUGCAUAUUUACAAUACCGACGUGGUGAUCAACUUUAGACUGUGGUUCAAAUAUU